GGGAUUGCCCCAGUAACGGCGAGUGAAGCGGCAAGAGCUCAAAUUUGAAAUCUGACCCCCUCCUCGGGGGCCCGAGUUGUAAUUUGUAGAGGAUGCUUCGGGCAAGGCUGCGCUCUAACUCGCUUGGAACAGCGGGUCGCAGAGGGUGAGAGUCCCGUCCAGGAUCGCGUGCCGCGCCCGGGUGAAGCUCCUUCGACGAGUCGAGUUGUUUGGGAAUGCAGCUCAAAGCGGGUGGUAAAUUCCAUCUAAAGCUAAAUACCGGCCAGAGACCGAUAGCGCACAAGUAGAGUGAUCGAAAGAUGAAAAGCACUUUGAAAAGAGAGUUAAACAGUAUGUGAAAUUGUUGAAAGGGAAGCGCUGGCCACCAGACUUGCGGGCGACGGUUCCCCCGGUCCUCUGACCGGGCUUACUCCAUCGCCCCCAGGCCAGCAUCGGUCCGGGCGGCCGGUGAAAGGCCCCGGGAAUGUAUCUACCGUCCGGUCGACCUAUAGCCCGGGGUGACAUACGGCCCACCCGGACCGAGGGACGCGCUCCGGCACGGAUGUUGGCGUAAUGGUGGUCAGCGGCCCGUCUUGAAACACGGACCAAGGAGUCUAACAUCCAUGCGAGUGUUUGGGUGUCAAACCCCGGCGCGGAAUGAAAGUGAACGGAGGUGAGAACCCCGCGAGGGGCGCAUCAUCGACCGAUCCGGAUGUCUUCGGAUGGAUUUGAGUAAGAGCAUGGCUGUUGGGACCCGAAAGAUGGUGAACUAUGCCUGGAUAGGGUGAAGCCAGAGGAAACUCUGGUGGAGGCUCGCAGCGGUUCUGACGUGCAAAUCGAUCGUCAAAUCUGGGUAUAGGGGCGAAAGACCAAUCGAACCGUCUGGUAGCUGGUUCCUGCCGAAGUUUCCCUCAGGAUAGCAGUAACGGAUUCAGUUUUACGAGGUAAAGCGAAUGAUUAGAGGCCUUGGGGUUGAAACAACCUUAACCUAUUCUCAAACUUUAAAUAUGUAAGAAGUCCUUGUUGCCUCGGUGAACGUGGACCGUCGAAUGGAUCGUUACUAGUGGGCCAUUUUUGGUAAGCAGAACUGGCGAUGCGGGAUGAACCGAACGCGGGGUUAAGGUGCCGGAAUGCACGCUCAUCAGACACCACAAAAGGUGUCAAUGCAUCCAGACAGCCGGACGGUGGCCAUGGAAGUCGGAAUCCGCUUAGGAGUGUGUAGGAAGAGACCCGACGGGGUUGUUGCACACGAUCAACCCCCGGCCCGUUGGCGGGGGGUUAGCUCGCACCGUCGCACGGUGGGAACGAUGGCUUCAUUGGGCUGGGACGUCAACUGCACGAUGACCGGCCGUAGAUUCCUCCCCGGGGGGAUCUAUCUACAGACUAGAAGGAGCCGACCGUGGGGGGAAGACCCACGGUCAAGAUAUAGUCGACUGCGGUCCCCGGCGGGGGACCGGUGGCGUGAACAACUCACCGGCCGAAUGCAUUGGCCCUGAAAAUGGAUGGCGCUUAAGCGUGUUACCUAUACCCCGCCGUUGGGGUUGAAAUGAGGCCCCAACGAGUAGGCAGGCGUGGGGGUCGGUGACGAAGCCUC
This 1573-nucleotide ribosomal RNA is filed under the name Clavascidium lacinulatum. Its description in RNAcentral is "partial 28S large subunit ribosomal RNA". It matches the Rfam family "Eukaryotic large subunit ribosomal RNA", at positions 71 to 1412 of the family's 3401-position model. The record is from RNAcentral. Lineage: Eukaryota; Fungi; Ascomycota; Eurotiomycetes; Verrucariales; Verrucariaceae.